This 554-nucleotide ribosomal RNA is filed under the name Cystodendron sp. EXP0555F. Its description in RNAcentral is "eukaryotic LSU rRNA". The stretch from base 243 to 397 matches the Rfam family "5.8S ribosomal RNA". Lineage: Eukaryota; Fungi; Ascomycota; Leotiomycetes; Helotiales; Mollisiaceae. The record is from RNAcentral.
GGAUCAUUAAUGAUAGCUGAGUACAGCGUUGCGCCGCGUGGCUCUGCUAGGCUGGUAGAGGAUCUUCCUCCCGAAAUAGGCCUGGCAGGCUCCGGUUACGCCUCUCACAUUCAAACCCUUGACUACAUUACCAUUGUUGCUUUGGCGGGCCGCCCCUCGGGGCGUAGGCCUAGGCUUACCGCGCCCGCCAGAGGACCAAAACUCUUGUGUUUAGUGAUGUCUGAGUACUAUAUAAUAGUUAAAACUUUCAACAACGGUAUCUCUUGGUUCUGGCAUCGAUGAAGAACGCAGCGAAAUGCGAUAAGUAAUGUGAAUUGCAGAAUUCAGUGAAUCAUCGAAUCUUUGAACGCACAUUGCGCCUCCUGGUAUUCCGGGAGGCAUGCCUGUUCGAGCGUCAUUAUAACCACUCACGCUCUGCGUGGAUUUGGGGCCCGCUGUAUCGGCGGCCCUUAAAACCAGUGGCGGUGCCGUCUGGCUCUACGCGUAGUAAUUUAUCUCGCGACAGAGUUCCGGGUGGUUGCUUGCCAGAACUCCCCCCUUUUAAGGUUGACCUC